RNAcentral lists this ribosomal RNA (253 nucleotides) under uncultured bacterium. RNAcentral's name for it is "partial 16S ribosomal RNA". It matches the Rfam family "Bacterial small subunit ribosomal RNA", at positions 524 to 776 of the family's 1533-position model. The record is from RNAcentral.
UACGGAGGGUGCAAGCGUUGUUCGGAAUUACUGGGCGUAAAGGGCGUGUAGGCGGUAUGGUAAGUCAGAUGUGAAAGCCCUGGGCUUAACCCAGGAAGUGCAUUUGAAACUGCCAUGCUUGAGUAUGGGAGAGGAGAGUGGAAUUCCCAGUGUAGAGGUGAAAUUCGUAGAUAUUGGGAGGAACACCCGUGGCGAAGGCGACUCUCUGGACCAAUACUGACGCUGAGGCGCGAAAGCGUGGGGAGCAAACAGG